CGGACGGGUGAGUAAUGCUGGGAAACUGCCCGAUGGAGGGGGAUAACUACUGGAAACGGUAGCUAAUACCGCAUAACGUCGCAAGACCAAAGAGGGGGACCUUCGGGCCUCUUGCCAUCGGAUGUGCCCAGAUGGGAUUAGCUAGUAGGUGGGGUAACGGCUCACCUAGGCGACGAUCCCUAGCUGGUCUGAGAGGAUGACCAGCCACACUGGAACUGAGCACGGUCCAG
This 230-nucleotide ribosomal RNA is filed under the name uncultured bacterium. Its description in RNAcentral is "partial 16S ribosomal RNA". It matches the Rfam family "Bacterial small subunit ribosomal RNA", at positions 99 to 334 of the family's 1533-position model. The record is from RNAcentral.